Molecule: ribosomal RNA, 254 nt
Filed under: uncultured bacterium
Lineage: Bacteria
Description: partial 16S ribosomal RNA
Rfam family: Bacterial small subunit ribosomal RNA
Source: RNAcentral
UACGUAGGGUGCAAGCGUUGUCCGGAAUUAUUGGGCGUAAAGCGCGCGCAGGCGGUCCUUUAAGUCUGAUGUGAAAGCCCACGGCUCAACCGUGGAGGGUCAUUGGAAACUGGGGGGACUUGAGUACAGAAGAGAAGAGUGGAAUUCCACGUGUAGCGGUGAAAUGCGUAGAGAUGUGGAGGAACACCAGUGGCGAAGGCGACUCUUUGGUCUGUAACUGACGCUGAGGCGCGAAAGCGUGGGGAGCAAACAGG